This 424-nucleotide ribosomal RNA is filed under the name uncultured prokaryote. Its description in RNAcentral is "bacterial SSU rRNA". It matches the Rfam family "Bacterial small subunit ribosomal RNA", at positions 355 to 796 of the family's 1533-position model. The record is from RNAcentral.
UGGGGAAUUUUCCGCAAUGGGCGCAAGCCUGAUCCAGCCAUGCCGCGUGAGUGAAGAAGGCCUUAGGGUUGUAAAGCUCUUUCAGUCGUGACGAUGAUGACGGUAGCGACAGAAGAAGCCCCGGCUAACUCCGUGCCAGCAGCCGCGGUAAGACGGAGGGGGCAAGCGUUGUCCGGACUCACUGGGCGUAAAGGGCGCGCAGGCGGGACGGCGCGUCGGCGCUGAAAGCGCCCGGCUUAACCGGGCGCGGCGCGGCGAUACGACCGACCUGGAGGGAGGCAGAGGGUGGCGGAAUUCCGGGUGUAGUGGUGAAAUGCGUAGAGAUCCGGAGGAACGCCUGUGGCGCAAGCGGCCGCCUGGGCCUGACCUGACGCUGAGGCGCGAAAGCGUGGGGAGCGAACCGGAUUAGAUACCCCCGUAGUCC